AGGGAGACCUACCCACUUUAGAGUCGAACGCACAGUGCAAAUAGAUUCAAAGUCGGUCAUCCCAAGGUCGUUCGGAUUACAGAUAGGCUUCCAAACUAUACUGGUUCGGUUUAUGGGCUAUUAGCUCAGGUGGUUAGAGCGCACCCCUGAUAAGGGUGAGGUCCCUGGUUCGAGUCCAGGAUGGCCCACCUUUGAAAAAGGGAAAAGCGAAGAAUGAAGAGGUAAAAGAGAUAAGAGCAAGCAAAGCCUCUGUAACGAAGUCUACGAAACCUUUUCUGUAACGAAGUCUGUUCUGUAACGGGUCUUUAAGUUUUGCUUGGAGCCUUAAGAACUGUUUAGGUUGCACUAGGUUUCAGCUUUUGCUCUAGUUCUUUUAUUAUUAUUUCUUCGUUCUUCAAUUCUCUGAUUUUCGUAUGGGGGUUUAGCUCAGUUGGUAGAGCGCCUGCUUUGCAAGCAGGAUGUCAGCGGUUCGAGUCCGCUAACCUCCACUGAGGAAUCUUGAAUCCUCAUGAGGCGAUAGCUAGUUAACUUGCUUAGAAUGCAGCUUGCUUAGCAGGCAGUUUGUUUAGUAGUCCGCUUACUUAGUUCAGCAACUUAUCUUGUUCACCGAGUUAAGGAAGACCAAGAGAGCCUGCUGGAUUAAACCAGCCAGAACCUUGAAAACUGCAUAGAAAAUUGUCAGGUAGCAGACAGCGAAAGUUGGCGGAAGAAUAACAGCCUGCUGUCAAUUAAAGCUGUCACUAUCACAGACACCAAUGUAAGCAAGACGAAAGCGAAAAAGUGGUCAAGCUACAAAGGGCUGAUGGUGGAUACCUAGGCACACAGAGGCGAAGAAGGA
RNAcentral lists this transfer RNA (838 nucleotides) under Thermoleptolyngbya sichuanensis A183. Its description in RNAcentral is "partial contains 16S ribosomal RNA, 16S-23S ribosomal RNA intergenic spacer, and 23S ribosomal RNA". The stretch from base 416 to 488 matches the Rfam family "tRNA". The record is from RNAcentral. Lineage: Bacteria; Bacillati; Cyanobacteriota; Cyanophyceae; Oculatellales; Oculatellaceae.